GACGAAUGCUGGCUGCGUGCUUAACACAUGCAAGUCGAACGGUGAAAGGGAGCUUGCUCCCUGGAUCAGUGGCGAACGGGUGAGUAACACGUGGGCAACCUGCCCCUCACUCUGGGAUAACUCCGGGAAACCGGGGCUAAUACCGGAUACGACCUGGUGCGACAUCGCACCGGGUGGAAAGAACUUCGGUGAGGGAUGGGCCCGCGGCCUAUCAGCUUGUUGGUGGGGUAACGGCCCACCAAGGCGACGACGGGUAGCCGGCCUGAGAGGGCGACCGGCCACACUGGGACUGAGACACGGCCCAGACUCCUACGGGAGGCAGCAGUGGGGAAUAUUGCGCAAUGGGCGAAAGCCUGACGCAGCGACGCAGCGUGAGGGACGAAGGCCUUCGGGUUGUAAACCUCUUUCAGCGGGGACGAAGCGAAAGUGACGGUACCCGCAGAAGAAGCACCGGCUAACUACGUGCCAGCAGCCGCAGUAA
RNAcentral lists this ribosomal RNA (481 nucleotides) under uncultured bacterium. Its description in RNAcentral is "partial 16S ribosomal RNA". It matches the Rfam family "Bacterial small subunit ribosomal RNA", at positions 28 to 523 of the family's 1533-position model. The record is from RNAcentral.